AGUGAAGAAACACUGGCUAUGAGAGAAGUAAAAGUAAAAUAUGUUGUUCACCAAAAGGGUUUAGGAUAUGACAGCCCUAAUGGAACAACUAACACACUUGAAAAUCCAUAGAUGAGUGAUAAUAUAAUAUCAAGACAAACAAUUAAUUUUGAGCAGCACCUGCUGCACAAAAGCCACUCACAGCCCUUGAAGCAACAUCAGGAGCUGAACAUGCUUAAACAUAAAAGAGAUGCCCAGUCUGGUCGAAGAAAACCGUGGCUAAACCACAGAGGAUAAUUUCUGGACACAGAACAGCUCACCACCUUCCUCCUUUUGGCAGACUGACUGCUCUUGAAAACUGGCCAUUCCUCUAAUUACUGAGAUCUCCCGAGCACUAAUCCCCUCCUCCCUGGUGUCUCUCACUCUUAGCU
Long non-coding RNA from Passer domesticus (house sparrow), 410 nucleotides. RefSeq lists it as uncharacterized. The record is from RefSeq and is a predicted model, not a curated record. The transcript is spliced from 3 exons. Lineage: Eukaryota; Metazoa; Chordata; Aves; Passeriformes; Passeridae.